UUAAAAUCUAUGAUCGAAAGUAAGUACUUUAGAGGAUGAUUUUCAGAGAGCAAAUGGUUGGUGUGAAUUUGUAGUUUAAUCUAGAGGAAUGGAUUCGUGAGAUGCUAGGUGAAUAAAAAGUAGCUGAGGCCGUUUCCUAACGUUAUAUAGGGAAGAUAUCGAUUUAGCGUUUAUAAGAAAGAUAUGAAACGUGAAGUCCGUAUCUAGUGAGGUUGUAUUGAUUAGUGGCUGAUAUCUAAUUAUAGGUAUCAGUUUUUUUGUUAAAAAAGUACAAUGAAAUUGGGUGGCACCACGACAGAUAAUUCGUCCCUAGU
RNAcentral lists this non-coding RNA (314 nucleotides) under Lachnobacterium bovis. Its description in RNAcentral is "T-box sequence". It matches the Rfam family "T-box leader". Rfam says of the family: Uncharged tRNA acts as the effector for transcription antitermination of genes in the T-box leader family. T-boxes are found upstream of many aminoacyl-tRNA synthetase genes and some amino acid biosynthetic genes usually in Gram-positive bacteria. Lineage: Bacteria; Bacillati; Bacillota; Clostridia; Lachnospirales; Lachnospiraceae. The record is from RNAcentral.